This 482-nucleotide long non-coding RNA is filed under the name Olea europaea subsp. europaea. Lineage: Eukaryota; Viridiplantae; Streptophyta; Magnoliopsida; Lamiales; Oleaceae. The record is from RNAcentral.
CUCACAUGGAGAAGAGAAUACUGCGACUUAAAGAAUAGGUUCUACUGCAGCAGCCAUAUCUCCUAGUUCUUGCAGUAAUGUUAAGCUUCAUCACUAUGGACCACUUUCAGUUAAGUCCAGUAGGGGACCAUGACUUUAAACCUGUAACGAAUAUCAUUGCAUGUACCAGAAAAUCAUGGAGAGUUGGCCAGAAGACAACCGGAGCCUGUUGAGAUUGGGGAACUUGGAAUUCGAGGAUGAAAUUUUUCGACCCGAGUCGUUGGAGUUUGAUAUCUGGAGCUUUGGACGUUAUGAUGGACUAGCAAUGGACGUAUUGUACGCUAGAUGGGAAACAUUUGCACUUGUAAUGCAUAACUGAUAAUCUUUUUCUCUACCAUAAAUGAAUCUCAAUUGCCUAUCUACAAUUCUAUCAUGGCCUAUUGUUUGUUCCUGUUUACCAAGGACUGAAAAUCUAUGUGCUAAAGGUGUAGAUUCAACUACGC